UGGGGAAUAUUGGACAAUGGAGGAAACUCUGAUCCAGCAAUUCUGUGUGUGUGAAGAAGGUUUUAGGACUGUAAAACACUUUUGGUAGGGAAGAAAAAAAUGACGGUACCUACAGAAGAAGCAACGGCUAAAUACGUGCCAGCAGCCGCGGUAAUACGUAUGUUGCGAGCGUUAUCCGGAAUUAUUGGGCUUAAAGGGCAUCUAGGCGGUAAGACAAGUUGAAGGUGAAAACCUGUGGCUCAACCAUAGGCUUGCCUACAAAACUGUUGAACUAGAGUACUGGAAAGGUGGGUGGAACUACACGAGUAGAGGUGGAAUUCGUAGAUAUGUGUAGGAAUGCCGAUGAUGAAGAUAACUCACUGGACGGAAACUGACGCUGAAGUGCGAAAGCUAGGGGGGCAAACAGG
Molecule: ribosomal RNA, 407 nt
Filed under: Verrucomicrobiota bacterium
Lineage: Bacteria; Pseudomonadati; Verrucomicrobiota
Description: Verrucomicrobia bacterium partial 16S ribosomal RNA
Rfam family: Bacterial small subunit ribosomal RNA
Source: RNAcentral